RNAcentral lists this ribosomal RNA (497 nucleotides) under uncultured bacterium. RNAcentral's name for it is "partial 16S ribosomal RNA". It matches the Rfam family "Bacterial small subunit ribosomal RNA", at positions 28 to 507 of the family's 1533-position model. The record is from RNAcentral.
GAUGAACGCUGGCGGCGUGCCUAAUACAUGCAAGUCGAGCGAACAGACGAGGAGCUUGCUCCUCUGACGUUAGCGGCGGACGGGUGAGUAACACGUGGAUAACCUACCUAUAAGACUGGGAUAACUUCGGGAAACCGGAGCUAAUACCGGAUAAUAUAUUGAACCGCAUGGUUCAAUAGUGAAAGACGGUUUUGCUGUCACUUAUAGAUGGAUCCGCGCCGCAUUAGCUAGUUGGUAAGGUAACGGCUUACCAAGGCAACGAUGCGUAGCCGACCUGAGAGGGUGGUCGGCCACACUGGAACUGAGACGCGGUCCAGACUCCUACGGGAGGCAGCAGUAGGGAAUCUUCCGCAAUGGGCGAAAGCCUGACGGAGCAACGCCGCGUGAGUGAUGAAGGUCUUCGGAUCGUAAAACUCUGUUAUUAGGGAAGAACAAAUGUGUAAGUAACUAUGCACGUCUUGACGGUACCUAAUCAGAAAGCCACGGCUAACUACGUG